Molecule: non-coding RNA, 187 nt
Filed under: Christensenellaceae bacterium
Lineage: Bacteria; Bacillati; Bacillota; Clostridia; Christensenellales; Christensenellaceae
Description: 6S RNA
Rfam family: 6S / SsrS RNA
About the family: E. coli 6S RNA was the first non coding RNA to be sequenced, but its function was unknown until recently. It consists of 184 nucleotides that fold into an extended hairpin structure with a large single-stranded internal bulge. The 6S RNA specifically associates with RNA polymerase holoenzyme containing the sigma70 specificity factor.
Source: RNAcentral
AGCCUCCUGAAGUGUGCGCCAGGGCCCUGUUUUUACCCACAUUUCAUAAAACGGAGCCCGGGUUCGGCGUCGGAUGUCAUGCCCCCGUUCUUGUGAACGCCAGGGGACGGCAAAAGUCGUCGACAGGGCACCGGCCUGCUUAACAUAGCGGGUGAAAAAACGGGUACAGCGGCACUUUGGGUUCUCA